CUGGGUGUGUGGCUCAGGGGUAGAGCACUUGCCUAGCAUGCAGGAGGCCCCGGGUUUGAUCCCUGGUACUGAGG
This 74-nucleotide transfer RNA is filed under the name Marmota monax (woodchuck). Its description in RNAcentral is "tRNA.Ala". The stretch from base 7 to 69 matches the Rfam family "tRNA", at positions 5 to 66 of the family's 71-position model. From Rfam's summary of the family: Transfer RNA (tRNA) molecules are approximately 80 nucleotides in length. Their secondary structure includes four short double-helical elements and three loops (D, anti-codon, and T loops). Further hydrogen bonds mediate the characteristic L-shaped molecular structure. tRNAs have two regions of fundamental functional importance: the anti-codon, which is responsible for specific mRNA codon recognition, and the 3' end, to which the tRNAs corresponding amino acid is attached (by aminoacyl-tRNA synthetases). tRNAs cope with the degeneracy of the genetic code in two manners: having more than one tRNA (with a specific anti-codon) for a particular amino acid; and 'wobble' base-pairing, i.e. permitting non-standard base-pairing at the 3rd anti-codon position. Lineage: Eukaryota; Metazoa; Chordata; Mammalia; Rodentia; Sciuridae. The record is from RNAcentral.